RNAcentral lists this ribosomal RNA (774 nucleotides) under uncultured Neocallimastigales. RNAcentral's name for it is "partial large subunit ribosomal RNA". It matches the Rfam family "Eukaryotic large subunit ribosomal RNA", at positions 20 to 627 of the family's 3401-position model. Lineage: Eukaryota; Fungi; Neocallimastigomycota; Neocallimastigomycetes; Neocallimastigales. The record is from RNAcentral.
UACUAGAGUAGCACUCGCAUAUCAAUAAGCGGAGGAAAAGAAACUAACAAGGAUUCCCCUAGUAACGGCGAGUGAAGCGGGAAGAGCUCAAAUUUGAAAUCUUAAAGGGUUUCCCUUUACGAAUUGUAGUUUAAAGAAGUGUUUUCUGUUGAGGUUUUGGUAAAAGUUCUUUGGAAUAGGACAUCAUAGAGGGUGAGAAUCCCGUAUUUGACCUUUACUUUCAACUUUGUGAUACACUUUCAAAGAGUCGGAUUGUUUGGGAGUGCAGUCCAAAAUGGGUGGUAAAUUUCAUCUAAAGCUAAAUAUUGGCGAGAGACCGAUAGCGAACAAGUACCGUGAGGGAAAGAUGAAAAGAACUUUGAAAAGAGAGUUAAACAGUACGUGAAAUUGUCAAAAGGGAAGCGUUUGACACCAGUGUUGUUUUUCUGAAAAUCAAUUAAAGAACUGUUUAUGCUAAGCUGUUUAGACUUUAUCAGCUAAUCUGUUUAGUUUGAGCUUUUCUUUAAUGCACUUUUCAGUUAACAAGUCAACAUCAAUUUCUUUUGCUGUAAAAAAGCUUGAGGAAGGUGGCUUGAGAUUCGUCUUAAGUGUUUAUAGCCUCUUGCCUAUGCAGUCGGAGAGAUUGAGGUCUGCAGCGUAGAUCCUUCGGGGCUAAAUGCAUUUGUGCUAAGUUAUAGCAUUUUAUAGACAACUUGUUGACUAUGAUUUGUCUUGUAGCUUACUCGCUUAUGUUAUUUUACCUACGCUUAGGAUGUUGAACUCUAUCACACACAG